Molecule: non-coding RNA, 934 nt
Organism: Danio rerio (zebrafish)
Lineage: Eukaryota; Metazoa; Chordata; Actinopteri; Cypriniformes; Danionidae
Source: Ensembl
UAUGGAUCGUUACGUUUAGAUGUAUGCAGAAGCUGUUGCGGUGAAAUAGUUUCUCACUACUAGAAUCUACCAAAAUAAAGCUAUCAAAAGAGUUAAUGAGGAUAAGGUGUUUGUUUCGUUAUCUGUUUAGAUGACCUCACACUUAUCUUGGGUCAGCCUCCAUCCCACCUUGAGGGUGUUCAACUGAAGAGAUUCUCCUGUCCCUGCUGAAGUGUCUUCUCUUUAUCACCACCCAAUGGUGAAGCUGCUGUAUGGGUCCACUGAACAUCAAAUAUGGAAGAAACGUCUUUUUGCAACAGCAUGGCUCCCUGUAUGAUGCAUCUUGAAGAAUGCUCAACAACCGUAAGAACAAAGAGAAACUGUGAGUGUGCAUUGCUGCUAGUCUGUGUGCUUGUUGAAAUGUCAAUGAUGAUUUACUGCAGAGGUCAUUUGAGGUGCAUGUUUUAAAGGUACUGUGGGAGACUUUGUAAAGAUUCUCAUUAUGUUUUUGAUGCAACCUGAUUUCAUAUGUUUUUUUCCUGAGGUGAGUCUAGGUAAAUUUUGUGGGUAAAAUACAGCCAUCAAAAUAUCAACCAAAAGCCCUGCACUUUGAAAAUUGUAAUGGGGUUGAAAAGUUCUAUUUUAAAGAAUAUUGAUACAACCAUUCAUCAUUGAUAAAACAAUUUAUUAUAGCAAAUAUAAUGUCAAAAAAAAAAAACUAAAACAUCACAUAAAUUGUGCAAAUUGUUUUUAAACCAGACCUACUGUACAUGGGCUUUCUAAAUAUUUUUGAACAACAAAAAUAUAUCUCAAACUUUUUGUAGGAUAUUUACAGUAAUUAUUUUGUAAUUGUCAUGAUUUAUAUAUAUAUAAAAGUUUAUAUGGAAAACGAGAUACAUUUUUAAAGAACAUUUAUGACUUUAUAAACACUAUUAAUAUACAGAAUGCAUUUGCC